Danio rerio (zebrafish) is the source of this 7049-nucleotide non-coding RNA. NCBI's taxonomy places the organism in Eukaryota, Metazoa, Chordata, Actinopteri, Cypriniformes, Danionidae. The record is from RefSeq and is a predicted model, not a curated record.
AAGGGCUCUUUAUUCACCCUUCUUAAGGACUGUGGACUGUUGCUGCCCCCUUGUGGAAAGACUGAGUAUGUUUAGAAUGUUCCAGAAAGUCUACCAUACGUGUGUCAGUCGGUAAUAGUCUGCAGAGCAUGGAGCACAUGAGAAACGUCCUCCUUUUCUAGCGGUGUUAUUAAUUGUGUGCGUGCAUCUAAAUGUAAGUUUCUUCGUUCCUUAAUCAUAUUUAUCAUGUUGUUUAAGGGUUAUCACCGUGAGAUGUUUACUUUGAUUAUUUAAUUACUUUGUCCUGUAAAGUCACCCUAAGAGCCAGUUUUAUACUACCUAAAUGCAUGAUUAACAUCUGUAUAUAGUUUAUUCUUAUUGUUUACAUCAAGCGGAAGCAUAUUUGCCUUUCAUUGAGUUUAGUUUAAGGUUAUUAGACGAUUUAACGAGGUUGCCGUGUAGGCUAAGAAAUGCAUAGUCAUGCUAACGCACGUGAUAUACUGCGUGACGUCAGAAUUGCAAGCGGUCGUGGGUUCGAUCCCCGGUUGGACCAAAGUUGAGAAAGUGCUAUAAUAAGCUAUAUAAAGUGAAGAAUAGUACUUCUAAAUAUUAUCUAAUGUCUUUCUACCUAUUGUUACUGCUCAUUUAUUUAUUGUUUAAACUAAUGUUUACCAAAUGUUUAUUGUAUUUGUAUACUGUGGUUGAAUGUUAAUUAUUCUUUGUUUCUACUUGUCUGUAGAACCACACACACACACACCCUCACCCCAACUAUAUGUCUGCUUAUACUAAUGGAAAUAAACCCAAGUGAGACAACAAGCAUCUUCGUCGCGUUUUGAUCAGACGUACCACAGUGAUUAAUUCAACUUAACCACACUAUCAGCUACAGUACAUUGGUCCUUCGAGCCGGAGUCAGUAAUUGCUGUGGAUUUAGAAGAUGUUUCCAGAACAGAGGAUCAGAGAAGGACAAAGGAGUGAUGUGCGUCCUAAACGUCGAAUACAACAUCCAGCCUGGUUAGAGGAUUAUGAGGUUUCUCUUCCUCAAUAUAACCAACAAUCUCCAGCUGCUCAUACAUUGCCUCAUCAAAACCCACAGGAGCCUUACACUGAAAGGGUAGCCGAGAUGACCCCUCUCAUUUAUCAGCCACAAAGCGAUUAUGCUUUAAGGGCAGACCAGAGAGUCAUUAACCACUCAUUACAUAUGAGGCCAAGAUAUGAGAGCACACCUGUAUCUCAGCCUGUCACACAGGAAGAUGUAUCGGAGAUUUUGAGAACAGUUCAGGAGCUUAGACAAGAAAAUCAACAGCUUCAGUUUGUCAUGCAAGAUAUGCAACAGAAAAUGAGCUUAAAUAGAGCCCCUCCCCUUCAACAAAGAGCAGAGCCCUUGCCAUAUGACAGAACCCAGUCAAAGGCAAGUCCAGCCCCAUUACAUGUUAAUGAUGAAUGGCCACUACCACCUCCACCUGUAGUAGAUGAUGGGUUUCUCCCUUUGGCUGGGGAUAUACCACCCCCACUUCCGAGACCCAUGUCUAAUUUUGUGGAUGAGUUAACAUCUCGACUCAGGAACUUACAAACAAAAGAUCAUCAUCUCUCAUGCCCAUCAACCCCAGAGUACUGUGAACCUGAGAGUUUCUCUAUGGCAUUACCUCCACAACAGAGGACACGUGAAUACCCAAUGUCUAAGUACCCUCAAACAGCACCUAUCAGCAGUAAGCCAUUCUGUAUGGACCAUGAACUGCACCCUUAUUACCCUCAACAAGAAAGGAUGUACAGAGGCCCAAAGCCCACAAUCCCUGACUUUACUAAAGGAGACCCACGGGAAUUUGCACGACUGAAAGUCUCAUUGGACAAUCUUUUACCCGAGGAUUCUACGGAAAGGUUUAAAUAUCAAAUACUCCUAGAACACUUGAAGUUUGAGGAUGCUCUUCUCAUUGCAGACUCCUACAUCAAUUCCAGUAGACCGUAUUCAGAUACCAUGGCCUCUCUCGCAGAACAAUAUGGGCAGCCCCACCAGCUAGCUUUGAGGCGAAUUGCUGACUUAAUGGAAGAUCCUACCAUACGUAGUCAAGAUGCUAGUGGAUUCAAGAGGUUUGCAUUGAAAGUAAGAGCUCUAGUAGGCAUGCUGAAUCAAUUGGGAGAUAGUGGCAGAAUUGAGCUUCAGUGUGGCUCACAUGUAACACGGCUGUUGUCCAAGUUGCCCCAUGACUUACGAGCAGAUUUCAAACGGUAUGUGUACCCCCUAAAUGUUCGCAUCCCCACUCUGUUACACUUUGCAGACUGGCUUGAAUAUGAGCUAAAAAUACAGGCGAGUGGAUUUGAGUUUCUUGGUGGAGACCGAAGGGAACGUCCUGACCAGAGGAGAGACAGGAGUAAAGACUUUAAGUCCACAAAGACAGUAGCUGUAUUUCAUAGCACAGACCCUGCUUUAAAUACUACAGCUCCAGGAGAGUCCAGUUUGAGUGCUGCUAAAACUCAGGACAAACCAAGAAUAUUUUGCCCCUACUGCACAAAUACCCAGCAUUAUUUGAAUCAGUGUCAAAACUUCAGCCAGCUCACCAAAGAACAAAAAACAAACUGGGUGAAAACCAAUAAGAGAUGCUGGCGUUGUGGUCGAGCUCAUCAGGCAGCACAGUGCAAUUUAAAGACAAGCUGUAAGGUCUGUAAAGGCAAACAUCUCGAUGCACUUCAUGAGCUGAAUGAAAGGCCAGUUUCUGAGAACACUUGUCUUGUCAACAACGCCAAUGAAGUUCUAUACCUGGACAGACCAUUAGGCUGCAGUCAAGUACUGCUAAAGGUUACAAAGGUAAUUCUUCGGAAUGGGGAACAUACCCUCGAGACAUAUGCCAUUUUGGAUGAUGGCUCAGAACGCACAAUCCUUCUGCCAGCGGCCGCCCAGGAACUGAAGUUACAAGGCAAACCAGAAAACCUUGCUCUGAGAACUGUCAGACAGGACAUGAAAAUCAUACAUGGUACUACAGUCUCCUUUACCAUCUCCCCUGCCUGCCAGCCUCACAAAGUCUUUAAGAUACAUAGAGCAUUUACUGCAGACCAUUUGGGGCUCGCUGAACACACAUGCCCAGCUACCACCUUACAGCAUAAAUACAGACACCUCAGGGGACUGCCAAUCCUAUCCCUUAACAGUGUUCAGCCCCUCCUUCUAAUUGGUUCUGACUAUCCCUACCUAAUUACUCCAAUCGAGCCUGUACGCCUGGGGCCUCCGGGCGGACCCGCAGCAGUGAAAACACGACUAGGCUGGACAGUCCAGGGGCCUACUAAGCUUGUGCGGCAUCAGCUUUUGACCCAGCAGUGUCUCAAUAUAUCCAUCUGUAGCCCUUCUGAUGAGCUGUUCAGACACAUUGAGAAACUCUGGCAACUAGAUGUACUGCCCUACAGAAGUGAGAAACUUGCGACCAGAUCUAAGCAAGAUCAAGAAGCUGUCGACCUGUUAGAGGCAAAGACAACUAGAAUUGAUGUCAAUGGGACACAACGAUAUGCCACACCUCUCUUAAGGGUUAAAGACAUGCCAAAUUUACAAGCUACUAAACAAGCUGUAAUGCCGAAUCUGCGCAGCACCGAAGCCCGCCUAGCCAAAGAUCCAAUAAAGUCAGAGGCAUACAGAGCUGAAAUUCAAAGACUGGAAGAAGCAGGUUAUGUGGUUGAAGUACCCGACGAGAAACUAUCGAAGAAAGAGGAAGAGUCAUGGUUCAUUCCCCACCAUAUGGUGAGCCAUAAUGCCAAAAACAGAGUUGUAUUCAACUGCUCAUUCUCAUAUCAGGGUAAGAACCUAAACAACCUGCUGCUGCCGGGACCAGCUCUGGGGUCCUCAUUACUUGGAGUGUUGCUGCGCUUCAGGGAACAUGCUGUAGCCUUUAGUAGUGAUAUAAAGGGGAUGUUUCAUCAAGUAAGAUUACUGCCUGAGGAUAAGCCCCUACUCAGGUUCUUAUGGCGUGACCUAAAGAGAGAAGAACUCCCCAGAGUCUAUGAGUGGCAAGUGCUCCCAUUCGGGACUACCUGCAGUCCGUGUUGUGCGACAUACGCACUACAAAGGCACAUCGUUGACCACAGUCAGCAAGGAGACAAUGUCCGCCACUCACUGGAAAGGUGUUUUUACGUAGAUAAUUGGCUACAGAGUGUUGCAACACCUGACGAAGCUAAAGAGCUGUUAGACACAGGGAUGAAUCUGUUGGCUGAAGGAGGAUUUGAAUUGCGUCAGUGGGCAUGCAAUUUUCCGAAUGUCAUUGAACAUCUGUCAAAGGAAGCCAGAUCAGAAAGCAGUGAACGCUGGCUUAACCAAACUGAAUCUGAUCCUCAAGAACUCGCUUUAGGAUUACGAUGGAUGUGCCAGUCUGAUACUCUGGGAUACCAAACCCGCCUUGACAACUGUUCCACCCCCACAAUGAGAAACAUAUACAAGGUAGUAGCAAGCCAGUAUGACCCUCUUGGAUUCCUUGUCCCCUACAUCACCCGAGCCAAGAUCCUUAUACAGAGUCUUUGGGCUAAGCAACGAGAAUGGGAUGACCCCCUACUGCCAACUGAAAUCCUCAAAACAUGGCAUGAUUGGCAAGGGGAACUUCAGCAUCUUUCCCAACUGACACUGCCACGCUGCUAUGUGAGUUCCCAGUUGGAUUCCCUGAACUGUAAGCGACAAGUGCAUAUCUUUAGUGAUGCCUCUGAGCGGGCAUACGGAUCUGUAGCAUACUUGCGCUCAGAGGAUCUAAAGGGAAAUGUUGAGGUAGCGUUCCUCACAGCCAGGUCAAGAGUAGCCCCUAAACGCCAGUUAUCUGUGCCUCGACUGGAACUUUGUGCAGCUCUCACAGGUGCCCAAUUGGCUUCACUAUUAGCUAAAGAGCUCACUCUACCCAUCGAAUCCUUUGUACUCUGGACUGAUUCUACCACUGUCCUAACAUGGCUUCAGUCAGAAUCCUGCCGUUACAAAGUAUUUGUAGGCACCAGAAUUGCCGAAAUACAGGAACUUACAAGUGCACAUGCCUGGCGUUACGUGGAAUCCAACAAUAAUCCAGCUGAUUAUAUCACUCACGGGAAAACUCUGAAGGAGCUAGCUACAGACAAAACCUGGAGACUAGGACCGGAAUAUCUGUGGAACUCACCUUGCUACUGGCCUGUUAUCCCUGACAUAAAUGCAAAGGAAAAUCCUGUCGAAUUAAAGAAGCCCACUUUCUGUAGUCACGUAACAGUCGAUGUACAGCCAUUGCCUGAUCCGCAACAGUUUAGCUGCUUUAAAGCCUUAGUUGAAGCGACAGCACUACUUCUGCACGGGGCGGCAGGUAAAGAUGGAGAUCUUUCAGCCGUGGAUUAUCAGUCAGCAGAAAGAAAUAUCUUACGAAAGGUUCAAAUUGACUGCUUCCCUGAUGACAUCAAUGCCCUAGUCGCCGGUAAACCAGUACCAUCCUCUAGCCGCCUCAUAACAUUAGCACCUGAAUAUGACAGCACAGUUGGGCUUAUCCGAGUGGGUGGGAGACUACGCCGCAGUGUUCAAUUAGAUGCAGAUGCUGUUCACCCAAUUGUUCUUGAUCCAUCUCACAAAAUUACCCAACUUCUCAUUCAGAACAUAGACAAAGAGCUUCAUCACCCUGGGGCGGAACGGGUCUUUGCAGAGAUCCGCCGUAAAUAUUGGAUUUUACGCGGUAGAGAAGCAGUUAAACGGCAACAACACUUAUGCCCUGAUUGUCAAAGGUGGCGAGCUAAACCAACAGUGCCUCAGAUGGCAGAUCUCCCACAAGCCAGACUUCAGAUUUUCAAACCACCAUUCUUCUCUACAGGAAUGGACUGUUUUGGCCCCUUUACUGUUAAACUAGGCAGAAGAAGUGAAAAACGUUGGGGCAUCUUGUUCAAAUGUCUGACAACCCGUGCUGUUCACAUCGACCUACUAAGUAGUCUUGAUACUGAUUCAUUUCUGAUGUCACUAAGGCGCUUCAUAUCCCGACGAGGAAAACCUUCAGAGCUAUUAUCAGAUCAAGGCACAAACUUUAAAGGAGGAGAAAGGGAGCUCCAACAGUCAUUCACAUCAAUGUGUCCCACACUGCAGAAAGAGCUUGCUAAACAACAAAUUAAAUUUCGAUUCAACCCUCCCGGUAGUCCCCAUUUUGGAGGAGUAUGGGAACGCGAGAUUAGAUCGGUCAAGUCUGCCCUGUAUGCCACUGUACAAAGACAAAGCAUGACUGAAGAAGUCUUGAACACUGUUCUCACUGAAAUAGAAGGAAUACUGAAUUCAAAACCUCUGGGUUAUGUGUCCACGGACAUUGCUGACCCCAACCCGGUGACUCCAAACAUUCUUCUGAUGGGGCGGCUAGACCCUUCACUCCCGCAAACAGUUUACCAUGAAACAGAGCUCUUAAGCCGCCGAAGGUGGAGACACUCGCAAGUGCUCGCGGAUCAGUUCUGGAUGCACUUCACAAAGCACUACCUACCCAGCCUACAAAUCCGUGGAAAAUGGCAGAGAGAAAGAGACCAAUUGCAGCCAGAUAUGAUCGUCAUGAUUGUGGACCCACAGUUACCUAGAGCCCUCUGGCCUGUAGGCAAGAUUAUUAAUGUUUUCCCCAGUGCGGAUGGACGAAUCAGAACUGCUGAGGUCAGAAUUAGGGACAGAACAUAUGUCAGACCUGUAGCACGCCUCAUUAAGCUACCAGCACUCCCAGACAUGGACACAGUUUCGAGCCCUUCUGAAUAAGCAAAUUUGACUGUGCAAAUUUGGGGGCGGCUGUUGCAAAGGGCUCUUUAUUCACCCUUCUUAAGGACUGUGGACUGUUGCUGCCCCCUUGUGGAAAGACUGAGUAUGUUUAGAAUGUUCCAGAAAGUCUACCAUACGUGUGUCAGUCGGUAAUAGUCUGCAGAGCAUGGAGCACAUGAGAAACGUCCUCCUUUUCUAGCGGUGUUAUUAAUUGUGUGCGUGCAUCUAAAUAACCACACACACACACACCCUCACCCCAACUAUAUGUCUGCUUAUACUAAUGGAAAUAAACCCAAGUGAGACAACAAGCAUCUUCGUCGCGUUUUGAUCAGACGUACCACAGUGAUUAAUUCAACUUAACCACACUAUCAGCUACAGUACACUG